Cercocebus atys (sooty mangabey) is the source of this 101-nucleotide small nuclear RNA. Lineage: Eukaryota; Metazoa; Chordata; Mammalia; Primates; Cercopithecidae. The record is from Ensembl.
GUGCUCACUUCGGCAGCACAUAUACUAAAAUUAGAACGAUACAGAUAAGAUGGCCCCUGCAUAAGCAUAACAUGCAAAUUCUUGAAGUAGUCUAUAUUUUU